RNAcentral lists this ribosomal RNA (253 nucleotides) under uncultured bacterium. RNAcentral's name for it is "partial 16S ribosomal RNA". It matches the Rfam family "Bacterial small subunit ribosomal RNA", at positions 524 to 776 of the family's 1533-position model. The record is from RNAcentral.
UACAGAGGGUGCGAGCGUUAAUCGGAAUUACUGGGCGUAAAGCGUGCGUAGACGGUUAUUUAAGUCGGAUGUGAAAGCCCCGGGCUCAACCUGGGAAUUGCAUUCGAGACUGAAUAGCUAGGGUGCGGUAGAGGGAAGCGGAAUUUCCGGUGUAGCGGUGAAAUGCGUAGAUAUCCGGAGGAACACCAGUGGCGAAGGCGACACGCUGGGCCGUACCUGACACUAAAACGCGACAGCAUGGGGAGCGAACGGG